CACGUAGGGGGCAAGCGUUGUCCGGAUUCAUUGGGCGUAAAGAGCUCGUAGGCGGUUCGUCGCGUCGGCUGUGAAAUCCCGAGGCUCAACCUCGGGUCUGCAGUCGAUACGGGCGGACUGGAGUUCGGCAGGGGAGACUGGAAUUCCUGGUGUAGCGGUGAAAUGCGCAGAUAUCAGGAGGAACACCGGUGGCGAAGGCGGGUCUCUGGGCCGAUACUGACGCUGAGGAGCGAAAGCGUGGGGAGCGAACAGG
RNAcentral lists this ribosomal RNA (253 nucleotides) under uncultured bacterium. Its description in RNAcentral is "partial 16S ribosomal RNA". It matches the Rfam family "Bacterial small subunit ribosomal RNA", at positions 524 to 776 of the family's 1533-position model. The record is from RNAcentral.